RNAcentral lists this ribosomal RNA (422 nucleotides) under Coccolithus braarudii. Its description in RNAcentral is "partial Eukaryotic large subunit ribosomal RNA". It matches the Rfam family "Eukaryotic large subunit ribosomal RNA", at positions 2981 to 3381 of the family's 3401-position model. Lineage: Eukaryota; Haptophyta; Coccolithales; Coccolithaceae. The record is from RNAcentral.
GGUUAGUUUUACCCUACUGAUGAAGCGGUUACCGCGACAGUAAUCCAAUUUAGUACGAGAGGAACCGUUGGUUCACGCAAUUGGCACUUGCCGUUGACUGAAACGUCAGUGCGGCGAAGCUACCGCGUGCCGGAUUAAGGCUGAACGCCUCUAAGCCCGAAUCCAUGCUGAAAAGCGGUGAUACGAGCUUUCUCUUUUUGUGAAGGCGCAUACGCACAGGUGCUCUGGUUCUUUGGGGCCAGGGCACUCAGAUCAUAACAUGGCAACGGCCCUUGGCGGCCGCCAGAAACGGCGGCUCCAGGCGACGCCGAAGCUCCGGUCCAAACAGAGAGAAGGACAAAUCCUUUGCAGACGACUUAAUUACAGAACGGGGUAUUGUACGUGCAAGAGUGGCCUCUGUGCCACGAUUCACUGAGAUUCAG